Molecule: small RNA, 743 nt
Filed under: Pan troglodytes (chimpanzee)
Lineage: Eukaryota; Metazoa; Chordata; Mammalia; Primates; Hominidae
Description: processed transcript
Source: RNAcentral
UCUAAAUGUUUCCCAGUUAAAAGGAGGAAAAGUGACAUGUCUCACUCUGAACAGCUUGGGAAUUCAGAUGUGCAGUGAGGAGAAUGGAGGAGCCUGGCGCAUUUUGGACUGUGGCUCUCCUGACAUUGAAGUCCACACCUAUCCCUUCGGAUGGUACCAGAAGCCCAUUGCUCAAAAUAAUGCUCCCAGUUUUUGCCCUUUGGUUGUUCUGCCUUCCCUCACAGAGAAAGGGAUCAUGAAGGUUUGCUGAGGGCCUGAAAGACUUUUCCUGCCUGAAAGGUAUCAGAAUGUCACGGUUUACCCCAGCCAGCCUGUGCAGGUGUGGAAACCGCCUCUUCUAUUUCCCAGCUAUUCCAUAUUCAGGAGCAAUCACUUGAUGAGUGCUGAGCAGCUGAAAGAAAUUCCUCUUGGUUUUGAUUGUGGGAAGAAGGGUGAGGAUCCUGAAGACUUUUGGAUGCCUUGGACUCACUGUUUAUUUUUGAUGAGUCCUAAGAAAGUCACGUGAUCUUUUUAUACAAUAAAUGGGAUGGGUCUGUGAUUAUUUGAACGUUGGAGAGAGUGUCAGGCAUUUGCUGCCGGUUUGACAUUCUGCCCUUGGAUCUGAUACAAAAAUGCUUGGAGGCACUUUCCGCCUGUUUUUCAAAUGAGGGAGGCAAUGGCCAGAGCAGAAGCUCACCUGUCAUUACCUGCCAGCAAGCGGCAGACCUCUGCCUGUGGGGUGCAUGCAGCUCUAUAGUGAUGUG